AACGCGAAGAACCUUACCUGGGCUCGAAAUGUUGUGGACCGGGGUAGAAAUAUCCCUUCCCCGCAAGGGGCCGCAAUAUAGGUGCUGCAUGGCUGUCGUCAGCUCGUGUCGUGAGAUGUUGGGUUAAGUCCCGCAACGAGCGCAACCCUUAUCUUCAGUUGCUACCAUUUAGUUGAGCACUCUGACGAAACCGCCUCGGAUAACGGGGAGGAAGGUGGGGAUGACGUCAAGUCCUCAUGGCCUUUAUGUCCAGGGCUACACACGUGCUACAAUGGCCGGUACAAACCGUCGCAAACCCGCGAGGGGGAGCUAAUCGGAAAAAGCCGGCCUCAGUUCGGAUUAGAGUCUGCAACUCGACUCUAUGAAGCUGGAAUCGCUAGUAAUCGCGGAUCAGAACGCCGCGGUGAAUACGUUCCCGGGCCUUGUA
RNAcentral lists this ribosomal RNA (427 nucleotides) under uncultured Acidobacterium sp. Its description in RNAcentral is "bacterial SSU rRNA". It matches the Rfam family "Bacterial small subunit ribosomal RNA", at positions 958 to 1385 of the family's 1533-position model. Lineage: Bacteria; Pseudomonadati; Acidobacteriota; Terriglobia; Terriglobales; Acidobacteriaceae. The record is from RNAcentral.